RNAcentral lists this ribosomal RNA (253 nucleotides) under uncultured bacterium. RNAcentral describes it as "partial 16S ribosomal RNA". It matches the Rfam family "Bacterial small subunit ribosomal RNA", at positions 524 to 776 of the family's 1533-position model. The record is from RNAcentral.
UACGUAGGGGGCUAGCGUUGUCCGGAUUUAUUGGGCGUAAAGAGCGUGUAGGCGGCCAGGUAGGUCUGCUGUGAAAACUCGAGGCUCAACCUCGAGACGUCGGCGGAAACCAUCUGGCUAGAGUCCGGAAGAGGAGAGUGGAAUUCCUGGUGUAGCGGUGAAAUGCGCAGAUAUCAGGAAGAACACCGGUGGCGAAGGCGGCUUCCUGGACCGACACUGACGCUGAGGCGCGAAAGCUAGGGGAGCAAACGGG